GACGAACGCUGGCGGCGUGCCUAAUACAUGCAAGUCGAACGCAGUGGGGACGGGUGAGUAACACGUGGGUAACCUCCCAUCAGAGGGGAUAACACUUGGAAACAGGUGCUAAACCGAUACUGAUGGAUGGACCCGCGGUGCAUUAGCUAGUUGGUGGGGUAACGGCUCACCAAGGCCACGCUGCAUAGCCGACCUGAGAGGGUGAUUGGCCACACUGGGACGUAGACAUGGUCCAUACUCCUACGGGAGGCAGCAGUAGGGAAUCUUCGGCAAUGGAACAAAGUCUGACCGAGGAACGCCGCGUGAGGGAAGAAGGUUUUCGGAUCGUAAAACUCUGUUGUUCGAGAAGCGGUAUCUAACCAGAAAGCCACGGCGAACUACGGGCCAGCAGCCGCGGUAAUAC
Molecule: ribosomal RNA, 403 nt
Filed under: uncultured bacterium
Lineage: Bacteria
Description: partial 16S ribosomal RNA
Rfam family: Bacterial small subunit ribosomal RNA
Source: RNAcentral